AUAUAUGGCUAUGGCUGUACAUAUUCUAAAUUUGGAAUGAUACAGAGGAGAUUAGCCUGGCCCCUGCAAAAGGAUGAUAUGCAAAUUCAUGAAGCAUUUCCUAUUUUU
Octopus sinensis (East Asian common octopus) is the source of this 108-nucleotide small nuclear RNA. The record is from RefSeq and is a predicted model, not a curated record. Lineage: Eukaryota; Metazoa; Mollusca; Cephalopoda; Octopoda; Octopodidae.